Rhineura floridana is the source of this 1486-nucleotide long non-coding RNA. RefSeq lists it as uncharacterized. The transcript has 3 exons. The record is from RefSeq and is a predicted model, not a curated record. Lineage: Eukaryota; Metazoa; Chordata; Lepidosauria; Squamata; Rhineuridae.
CAUAAAACCUGAAUCAAAGUUAGACCAAGGAUAUUUAAAAAUCAAACCAAGGUUCUUAUUCUAUCGAUAGGAAAGAAGCAAAGUUUGGAACCCCCAAAGAGAAUGUGUUAAACUAUACAUGGAACUAUAUAGUUUUCAGCAAGAGAGAAAGGAAGGAAAAAGAAGCAGACUUUGCUGUGAAUAGUGAAUGGAUCUGGGCUUUUAUGAUUGGAAAGCCGAUUCUGAAUCUCCAGAAAAGUAUCUUCAUACCAUAAUCUUCAAAUUGAAGAAACAUCAAAAGGAAUUAUGGGAAGAUCAGUAAAACUGAAACCAGCAGCAGGAAGCUAAUACUAAAAAGCAGGAGUGCCAUUUCAGGUCUCAGUAGAAGAGGUGCAACAUUCAUAGCAACAGACAUUCAAAGGCCUUAUCAUGAAUAUCUUCAUGAUCUUCAGCCGAAUCCCAUGCAUAGUUACUCAGAAGUAAGCCCCACUGUAUUUGCUGCAGCUUAUUGCCAGAUCAAGUGCUAGUCGCAGCAUACUACAGCAAACAUGGCUACAAGGCAGCAGCUGGCUUUGUUCAGUGUCUCAGACAAGAACGGCUUGGUGGAAUUUGCAAAAUGCCUCAGUACUUUGGGUAUGGGUUUGGUUGCCUCUGGAGGAACGGCAAAAGCUCUUUGGGAUGCAGGCCUGAAUGUCACAGAUGUUUCUGAUCUUACUAGCUUUCUGGAAAUGUUGGGAGGGCGAGUAAAGACCACCCUGCAGUACAUGCAGCUCUGCCUUGGGAUCAAACAAGAGGGCAGCCCCACGCCCUGCAUGCUGGCCACCGGCUUCCUGCAGACCCCUGGUGCGGAGAUGCCGCCGCUCAGCCCCAAUGGCCUCCUGGCAGCCUCCGAGGACCAGGGAGUGCCCCUGCAGCCACCGCAGCUGCCGCCUCACCACCCGGCCUUCGCCCACCCGCUCCAGUACUAGUCCUAUCCGCACCUGAGCGCCUCCGGCUUCUUCCAGGAAAGCCUCCCCUCCCAGGCCUUUGCCCUGGGGGGCCUGCUCACCCCACCCUCCUCCUUGCUGGAGUUGUUGGAAGCCAAGCCAAAGAAGGGACGCCGCUUCUGGCCUCCCAAAUGGACUGCCAUCUACACCUGCUCUUACGCUGGCUGUGAGAAGAUCUACAUCAAGAGCUCCCACCUGAAGCCGCACCUCUGGACCCACACAGGAGGGGGCCGCCCACUGGGUUGCCCAUGGCCUUCCUGCAUCCAUGGAAACCCCCUGCUUGGCACACAGAGGCGCCUCCAUCUCCAAUGCGGUAGUGUCCUGUUUGUUUGUUUCUGAAGUGGGACUUCCUGUAGCCUAAGCCCAGGGGGGAGGGUGGUUUUUGACUACGAUGACUGAACUAGUAGGUUCUGAGUUUUGGGGACAGGAGGGGGUUAGCAGAAAACCUAUAUUUGAGUUGUAUUGUGUGUUGCAAUUUUUAGCAUAUUGUUCUAUUUAUUGUAUUGAGUUUUGCUUGGUAU